This is a long non-coding RNA of Carassius carassius (crucian carp), 1014 nucleotides long. RefSeq lists it as uncharacterized. The transcript has 3 exons. The record is from RefSeq and is a predicted model, not a curated record. NCBI's taxonomy places the organism in Eukaryota, Metazoa, Chordata, Actinopteri, Cypriniformes, Cyprinidae.
AGAGUGCGCUGAUAGAAGCAGCAGUUACAAGUGAGGAGAAAAUAGUUGAUUAUAAAUUGCUAAACAGGAUAUAAUCCAGGUUAAUUAUCAACUUGUGGACAUGUGGUGGUUUCAGUUGUGUGACUGCACGAGUAGAUGACUUAAUUCAGUGUUUAUAUUAGUGUUUGUUGCUGCAUAUAAGAAAUCUCCGGUGGGGGAGGGGAUUCAGGCCUACUUCAACAGAGAUUGAGCAUAAGUUAAUUUAAAAUACACUUUGAAGACUGUUAUAAUGUAUAAUAAUGCAGUGUAAUACAUGUAUAGGAAGAAAAUGCAGUAAUUGUUGUAUAUUAUACUGUUAAGAGGGGAGAGCAAGAUUGUGAGAUCGCACGUGCCAGUUUCCACGUGAUUGAUAAUCCAAAGUCUCAUAUAACAGCACAUAUAAGCCACUGCCGUUGUUUUACACACCUUUAUUGGUUCUUUAACAUUGGUUGCACUAUUUCAAGUCAAAUUGGGACUUGUGAUCUGGUGUUUUGAUUAGAGAUUAUUACUGUAAAGGACUUAUUUUUAUUAUUUACAUUUCUUCUUAUAUGUUAUUUCACUUUCUGUGCCCAUUGAAGUGAACUGGGUAACAUCAUUUGUUUUGUUUUAUUAUUCUGUUUUAUACAACUUCUCUUGUUUAAUUGGAUCUGAGUCCUGAGAAAAAGCUAUUUUUCCCUGAACCAAACAUUUAAUGCUGGGUCUUCUUUUGGGGCUCAGUCAAGAAUAAAAUAAUCCUUUUUUUAGUAGAUGUCUUGGCAUUAUGUCUUUCCAGAGUAUAUUAGAAGGAUGUCAAGCCGACCACAUCUAAUUUUGGUGUCAAAAGUGGGAUUCUGUUUUGUUUGGGGCUGAUUUCUUUUUGUUACAAUAGCGCAAAAGUAGAAGGGUGUAAAUAACGGUAGUGUCGAAGGGUGACUGAGUGCUGGAAGGACCUGCAGUGACAUCCUGACAGAAGCGGCGGCAGGACAAAGGGCCAGCACACCAAGUCUGCUGUGUGAG